Molecule: ribosomal RNA, 253 nt
Filed under: uncultured bacterium
Lineage: Bacteria
Description: partial 16S ribosomal RNA
Rfam family: Bacterial small subunit ribosomal RNA
Source: RNAcentral
UACGUAGGGGGCAGGCGUUGUUCGGAAUUACUGGGCGUAAAGGGCGCGUAGGCGGCAUGGCAAGUCGGGAGUGAAAGGCCUGGGCUCAACCGAGGAACUGCUUUCGAGACUGCCAAGCUAGAGUGCGGAAGGGGCAUCUGGAAUUCCCAGUGUAGCGGUGAAAUGCGUAGAUAUUGGGAAGAACACCUGAGGCGAAGGCGGGAUGCUGGGCCGACACUGACGCUGAGGCGCGAAAGCCAGGGGAGCAAACGGG